ACGAGUAACAAAUAUAUCAAAAGUAUAUAUAUUUAUAUAUAUAUAUAUAUAAAUGUACCUUUGUAAACUUUACCAAAGCAACCUUCGCCGAUAUCAUGUAGAAAUACUAGAUUUUCACGUUGUAAAAUUAAUACCUCCGGCGAGGUACAACUAAAGUAUUGAGGAUUAGGCGUGUAUUUGUUUGCUAAUAGUAAUCCCUUUUUUAGAUUCAUCGGAGACGCCUAGAAAAAAUAGGAAAAUGAGAAAAUGCAAGAUGUUUUAACAAUAUUGAAAAUAUUCAAUAUCAUCCUGCUUACAUCCAAUGAAUUCCUCUGCGACUUUACACCAUAACUUCGUCUUCUCACACAAUAAACUAUACUCAAGAGGAUAACUAGCACUGCGAUGAAGGCUAUCGCAAUUCCAACUAUUUCAGGUACUUUAUGCCUCGAACGUUCAACCUGCAUAAUAACAUUGUAAUACUAUCCAUUAUGCGUGCGGUAAGAAGUAAAAAUAUUUAUUAAGAAUCAAGAUAUGUUAAAGAGAAUUGAUCGAAGAAUUAAUACCUGUUCUGCUUCUGGUAGAGCAGUGGUACUGUUCGUGCCAUUACCACUUGGUGGUAUUAUAUUGUGUAUGGGUCGUGGAGUUAAAGGGACUAAGAGAAACAAGAAAAUAAAAAUGAAGAAAAAUAUUUGGACAAUUUUAAUUUUGAAAAAAAAGAAAGAAAUAAACUAAUCUCACCGGUCAAACGAUUCGGACAUUUGAGGUCUGACGUAGGUGGGGAGGAAUCAUGAGGACAAACGCAUUGCGAGGUGUUGUCACGGAAGCUACGACAAGCAGCCUCCUUUCCACAGAUGGUAGGCUGAUCUUUGCAUCCACUGAUUACGGUAGCACCAUCGGUUGCCGGGAACUCAUUUAUCGUUUCCAAUUGCUGACUCGUCGAUGAUGUUACCACUGAUGGUUCUAGAACAGUUACUUCAUUCUUAGAAAGUACGAGAGAACGUUCAAGUUUCUGCGUUCGUCUAUCUCAAUGGGAUCAUCAAGUUAAGGAUUAUUAUAGCAUAAAAUAUAAUCAUAUAUUUGAAAAGUAACUCAAUAAAUUCGAAUGUGAGUAAGUUCGCUUGAGAUUGAAGAGCCGAUCGAUGAUGGAAGAGUUUAACUAAAGACUUAGGUAAAAGGAUUAGCAGAAUAAAUUUCAUGAGACGGGCGACUUCAGCUCGAAGAAGUUGUCCGUUGCAGUCGGUGAAUUCGCAAAGACAUGGACGAAGGAACGGUAAAGGGCAUUGAGAGAAGGAAAAAGGGCUGCAUAUUUGGAUUGGGCCUGAGAAGAUAGAUACAGUGAAGGCAUUCAUUUGGUGCUUCGAGCUUGUAACGGGUCAAAGCGUUAUCUCUGCGGUCAGCGCUCCCCGACAACGAGUCUCGCUAUGAGUACCUAUUAUCGUCCCGUAUUCCUUUCCUUACAAAGCAUCUCCGUAGUACGUGGCAUCGGACUCUUUUUCCGAAAGAUCAGUUACCGUUCCCGAAAAGACGAUCCACGGCAUUUUCAGGAUAAAAUGAGUUAAGCCCAUCUCGACCUGCAAGGGAGUUAGGAAUGGAGGAAAAAAAUGAUCGCCAAGGUCAAAAGGGUUAUACUCUAUUUCUACCUUCUAUAUCUCGAACGUUUUUUUUUUCUCUCGAAGAUCUCUCAAAACAUUUUUUACUGAUAACGAAGAUAAAAAUAUUAAGCUAAUAAAUAAAACGUCCUCUAUGUAACAUAUAUAACAUAUAUAUAUGUAUGUUAAAAAUUCAUCGUGGAAUGCGAGAGUUCGACGAGACCUCUUAUCGCACUUUCUAAUCUUAACGUAUGAAGGUCGCGCGAACGCUACUGAUACCAAAACAUUAUAUCGACUUAAUUAGAAGUAUAAAGUAUACUGUCUAAUCAAUCAAGUUGUGUCCUCCGUAGUAGCAAGAUCGUACCGGUAACAGGCGAGAAGAAAAAGAGGAGGAGGAGAAGGAGGAAAAAUGGCACGCCGAUCAACACAAAACCAACCACUAUUAUUAUUUGAUUGAGUUGGAUUUUCGGAGGAUAAAAAUUGAUUUCAAGAUAAUACUUGACUAUUCUUGGAGUAAACACUACGUGAAAUGUAUCUCACUGGCGAACGGAAGUCCGAGGAUGCUCUUGAACAAGGAUAAAAGAACAUACGAAUCGCCGGCUGGGUGGUAGACGA
Molecule: long non-coding RNA, 2183 nt
Organism: Vespa velutina
Lineage: Eukaryota; Metazoa; Arthropoda; Insecta; Hymenoptera; Vespidae
Exons: 3
Source: RefSeq, a predicted model, not a curated record